This 307-nucleotide long non-coding RNA is filed under the name Phoenix dactylifera (date palm). RNAcentral's name for it is "long non-coding RNA (PDAC_LNC022645)". Lineage: Eukaryota; Viridiplantae; Streptophyta; Magnoliopsida; Arecales; Arecaceae. The record is from RNAcentral.
AUGAUAGAAUAAUUAUUUUAUCAUACAGCUAGUAGACCAGAUUGUAUGCUCAUUAUGUGCACUUGUGCAAGCCUUCAAUCUAAGUUUAAUGAAUCAUAUUUUAUUGAUAACAAAUAAAUCAUAAUCUGAAUUUUGAUAGAAACAACUGUUUAAGAUAAGUUGAUUAAAACUUAGCUAGCAUGUCUUAUUAAUAAUUAUCUUAAGCAAAUAAAAUCUAAACUAAAUCGUUUUUGAGAAAUUGAUUUGAUCUUGAUAAAACUUCCUAUUGCCUCACAUACUUGUCCUUGAACCAUCUUGGUUAAUGAAA